This 253-nucleotide ribosomal RNA is filed under the name uncultured bacterium. Its description in RNAcentral is "partial 16S ribosomal RNA". It matches the Rfam family "Bacterial small subunit ribosomal RNA", at positions 524 to 776 of the family's 1533-position model. The record is from RNAcentral.
UACGGAGGGAGCUAGCGUUACUCGGAAUUACUGGGCGUAAAGCGUGCGUAGGUGGUUCGUUAAGUCUGAUGUGAAAGCCCUGGGCUCAACCUGGGAAUGGCAUUGGAAACUGGCGACCUAGAGUGCGGUAGAGGGUAGUGGAAUUCCCGGUGUAGCAGUGAAAUGCGUAGAGAUCGGGAGGAACAUCCGUGGCGAAGGCGACUACCUGGACCAGCACUGACACUGAGGCACGAAAGCGUGGGGAGCAAACAGG